Molecule: ribosomal RNA, 484 nt
Filed under: uncultured bacterium
Lineage: Bacteria
Description: bacterial SSU rRNA
Rfam family: Bacterial small subunit ribosomal RNA
Source: RNAcentral
AUUGAACGCUGGCGGCAUGCCUUACACAUGCAAGUCGAACGGCAGCGCGGGCUUCGGCCUGGCGGCGAGUGGCGAACGGGUGAGUAAUACAUCGGAACGUGCCCUAGAGUGGGGGAUAACUAGUCGAAAGAUUAGCUAAUACCGCAUACGAUCUUAGGAUGAAAGUGGGGGACCGCAAGGCCUCAUGCUCCUGGAGCGGCCGAUGUCUGAUUAGCUUGUUGGUGGGGUAACGGCCCACCAAGGCGACGAUCAGUAGCUGGUCUGAGAGGACGACCAGCCACACUGGGACUGAGACACGGCCCAGACUCCUACGGGAGGCAGCAGUGGGGAAUUUUGGACAAUGGGGGAAACCCUGAUCCAGCAAUGCCGCGUGUGUGAAGAAGGCCUUCGGGUUGUAAAGCACUUUUGUCAGGAACGAAACGGUGGGGGCUAAUACCUUCUGCUAAUGACGGUACCUGAAGAAUAAGCACCGGCUAACUACGUG